RNAcentral lists this ribosomal RNA (253 nucleotides) under uncultured bacterium. Its description in RNAcentral is "partial 16S ribosomal RNA". It matches the Rfam family "Bacterial small subunit ribosomal RNA", at positions 524 to 776 of the family's 1533-position model. The record is from RNAcentral.
UACGAAGGGGGCUAGCGUUGCUCGGAAUCACUGGGCGUAAAGCGCGCGUAGGCGGGUUGGUAAGUCCGCUGUGAAAGCCCGGAGCUUAACUCCGGAGGGUCGGUGGAUACUGCCAGUCUUGAAGGUGCUAGGGGGAGAUGGAAUUACCGGUGUAGCGGUGAAAUUCGUAGAUAUCGGGAGGAACACCAGUGGCGAAGGCGGCGACCUGGACGGACACUGACGCUGAGACGCGAAAGCGUGGGGAGCAAACAGG